GAUGAACGCUGGCGGCGUGCCUAAUACAUGCAAGUCGAGCGAACAGACGAGGAGCUUGCUCCUCUGACGUUAGCGGCGGACGGGUGAGUAACACGUGGAUAACCUACCUAUAAGACUGGGAUAACUUCGGGAAACCGGAGCUAAUACCGGAUAAUAUAUUGAACCGCAUGGUUCAAUAGUGAAAGACGGUUUUGCUGUCACUUAUAGAUGGAUCCGCGCCGCAUUAGCUAGUUGGUAAGGUAACGGCUUACCAAGGCAACGAUGCGUAGCCGACCUGAGAGGGUGAUCGGCCACACUGGAACUGAGAAACGGUCCAGACUCCUACGGGAGGCAGCAGUAGGGAAUCUUCCGCAAUGGGCGAAAGCCUGACGGAGCAAUGCCGCGUGAGUGAUGAAGGUCUUCGGAUCGUAAAACUCUGUUAUUAGGGAAGAACAAAUGUGUAAGUAACUAUGCACGUCUUGACGGUACCUAAUCAGAAAGCCACGGCUAACUACGUG
RNAcentral lists this ribosomal RNA (497 nucleotides) under uncultured bacterium. RNAcentral describes it as "partial 16S ribosomal RNA". It matches the Rfam family "Bacterial small subunit ribosomal RNA", at positions 28 to 507 of the family's 1533-position model. The record is from RNAcentral.